UCGCUUCAGUUAGAUUAUUUGAAACUUCCUACAAGAAAUGGGAACAAGAGUAGUUAAAUAUGUGAUGAUUUCUGCGAAACAAAGUUUUACUUUGGCGACCUAGUUCUAUGCAAAUACGUAAGUGUUCCACGGACAAAGUAUCGAUAAACUGUUUAAACCUCAAAUAGUUAACUGAAGAUGCAAAGUGGAGAAACGGAAGAGGAUAUGUCCGACGAUCAACGUUUUUCUAGCGAGAUAGAAAUUAACUUAGGAAAUCUGUCCGAAUAUGAAAAAGGGUUUUCAGGAGUUAUUGCUCCCAACGUUUACCUGGAGAUCGAUGAGGAAAAGCGUCAUAAAACAUACGCAAUUUUGCAAGAAACACGCCAGGAUUUCUCUGAAAACAAACUAAAAUCAUUAUUAUUAAUUUACACCAAUAGUUCUUGGGACCUCUUUAUACUAUGUUCUCUAUUUAUCUCAUAUUUGUUAGACAGUACCAUUUACACUUUUUGCAAGCCCAACCAACGCCCUUUUUGUAUUGUAGUACUUAUAAUCUGUUUAAACUUCAUAUUUAUGUUCGAUGUGAUAGUAAAAGCUUUUUUAAAGUUCUUCAAGCAGUGGACUAAAACACUUAACAUUGUUGAACCAGAUACGAUCAAGGUCAUCUUAGAUACAGUACUAGCAUUGCCAUGUGGAUUUUGUUACUUUGUAGUUGAUAGUGAUUUUUCGUUUUACUGUCAUAGUUUAUCUCCAUUGUUUGCCGCAUUGCGAGUUUAUAGGAUCAUAGAGUACUUCUACAAUAAAUCUUCACAAGCUGGGAGCAACCAAUGGACAACAUUUUUAUUUCAAUAUUUGACGUUGUUUUUACUGUCCGUUCACACGAGUACGUGUAUCUGGUAUUUAUUUGCCAACCAAAGUUUCGAUUUGCACAAAUUUUAUUCGUCUUGGUCUCAUUCGGCGAUUUAUUUUCCGAUUGAAUCUACAUUAGAUUGGUAUUAUGUUUGUGCGUAUUGGUCAGUAACGAUUUUAACUACUAAUGCUCUUGGUGACCUCUACCCUGUUACGACAAUUGAGAGAAUCACUGCGAUAUUUGCAACUUUGUUAGGAUUCUUAUUAACGACCAUAGUCUUUGUGGGUUCGUUAACCUCUCAAUUUUUAACAAUAAGUACUAGACGAGCACAAUAUGUCAGACAGUUGAUGAAAAUUAGAAGAUACCUCGAGACUAUUAAUAUGGACUCUGAAACUACCACACGAAUCUUAAAAUACUAUGAAGAUCUUUGGUAUCAGAAAUCUGGAGUUUUCAAACCUGUACUGCUGAAAAUGUUGCCGUCUCCGCUGCAAAUGGAAAUAUGUUACGAUUUGAACGCCGUUCCGCUGUAUUGCUCUUUGUUAUUUAGGAAGCUUCCGGAAUCGUUCCUUAGGAGAUUGUCACUUGCUAUGACUCAUCAAUUUUACCUACCGGGUGAUGUUAUUUAUAGUCACAACCAGAAUAAGACCUUUAUGGUAUGUCUCACUAAGGGUGUUAUAGAAAUACUAUCUGAUGAAGAUGACGAGAGCCCGAUGAUUUCCUUUUCAAAAGGCACCUGUUUGGGCGAAAUAGCCUUAUUCCACAAUAUACCUGCAAGAUGUACAGUUAAAGCCGCGACAUACGUAGAAUGUCAAGUUCUAUCAAAAAUAAGUUUUAUACAACUUAUGAUCACUUAUCCGGAGAUAAAUGAGAAAUUAAGAUCGGAAAUUCAAGAUCGAAUACAAAAAAGCAAACGAACAAAACGAAAUCGGGAAAAUGAAAGGCGAUUAUCAUUGAACAUUUAUGCUUCAAGAAGUCGAAAAAAAAGUAGUAUUAAAUGCGUUAAAGACAAAUUAAGGUACAUUCAAGGUAAUCAAAAUCAAUAACUUAUUAUAUUACAGGGCGUAGAACUAACAGAAGAAAAUUGGAUAAAAAACUCGGUAAUACCGUCAGAGCUUCGAAAGAAAGUUCUACAUCAAGCAAGGUUCAAAGUGAUAACGUCAAUACGUUACUUCAAAGUAAAAAACAAAGCUUUUAUACAGAGUUUAACUGAAAUGGCCCAUGACGUCAUAUUGCCCCCCGGUGAAAUAUUGUACUAUAGCGGCACAAUUACCAGGGAAAUGUAUGUAAUUGAGAGUGGCUACUGUAUGCUCACUUAUAUGACCGAAAACAACAAAAAACAUGAGAGGAUUAUAGGUCCAGGAAAUCAUCUUUGUCUGCUGGUACUACUAUACGGAGUCCCCGCUAUUUAUACUGUUAUUACAAAAACUCAUUGUAAACUGAUAUCUAUAACUUAUUCGGCAUACUCGUCGGCUCUAAGUCUCUUCCCUGACAUGAAAGAACACGAGAAUCUAUUAACUUCAAACGAGCUCCAGUACAUUGAAUCAUUGUCUAAAUUGCAAAACGUUGAUAUGUACGUUAAACAUCGAUUUUGUCCGAGGAGUAAGAAAGUCAUUAAAAUUACAGGAAUCCUUCAAGAUUUCUUUGACGAUUCUUUUAUCAACGUUAUCACUUAUUAUAACCAAAACAAAAUGAACUAUAUGAAUUCUUAUAAUCAAUUCACCGCGCUCAGUAACAUCGCACGCUAUGUCCUACUGCCAGUCGUUAUAAAACCUGAUGGAAUAUUUCUAAGCAUCUGGUGCAUAAUCAGAGUGGCAGUAGCAAUGGCUCCUCUAUACGGGUCAUUUGCAGUGACAAUAUCGACUUUUGAAUACAUUAUGUACUUAGAUCUAUAUGUAAUGAUGCAUGUGGCAUAUUACGGAGAAAAAAACCAGUUAAUAUUUCAUCCAUAUCUAACAGCUAAACGAUAUAUUAAGGGUCCAUUCCUCGUAGACCUGAUAACAUGUUUUCCUUGGUUUUUGUUAUGGUUACUAUUCAUACCAAAACACGAUGAAGGACACACAACUCAAGAUCAUCUGACUCAUAAUCACUUUUCCCACUGCAUUGUAAAAAUGGUAAAUGUUCUGCAGAUAUAUAAACUCUGCACGGCUUUUUGGGCUGAUUCUAUCAGUGGUUUGAAACGGGCGUAUCUCAUGAGCGUUGUCCAAUUCUUUCUAUUAACAUUAUUUUUUUUGAAUCUAUACGCUUCAAUUUUGAUUAUGCUAUCUUGUACAUACGUUAUUGGUACAGAUAUAAAUGACUAUUCAGUCAAAAUAAAUCGAUUGCAAUCGCUAGAAAAGUAUGUAAAGUCUGAAUACAAUCCAGAUGGAAAUAUGGCAUGUCUGCGUGGUUCAUGGAUAGACAUGAUAGACGAAAAAAAUGAUACGCAGUAUCCACCAUCAACAGUUUUUCUCUUGGCUUAUUAUUGGGCUGCUGCAAGUCUUAGUGGCGCAGGCUUUGGAGACAUCACAGCGCAGGAUACCGGACAUCUUGUAUUGUCAAUAUGCGCUAAUAUCCACGGACUGCUAUUUUUUGGAUACGUUUACGCUAGGAUAGCGUCGUUGAAAGCGAUCGCCAAUACGGUCGUUACAAAAUUUCAAGAAAAUAUGAAACAUUUACAAAUGUUCUUGAAUAGAGAAAAGGUUCCUUUGAAUUUGAAGAAGUCAGUUAUUGAAUAUUGGAAAUAUCAAUGGAAAAGAACGGGUGGAUGGUGUCAUCAGUUAAUUCUUGAUAAACUCCAUUCGAAUUUAAAAGAAGAUGCAGUUUUAUACAUGUACGAGAAAACGCUUAGGGAAAUACCACUAUUCGAAAACUUGGAAUAUGCUUUUUUUCGAGCGGUGGCUAAGAAGCUUCAAGAGAAAUAUUUUCAAAAAGGUUUCAUGAUUUUGAAAUCACACGAAGUAAUGAGUGAUAUGCAUAUAAUAUAUCGUGGCAAGGUGGACAUAGUAUCAGAUAUAAAUGAAGUCGAAGCAUGUAUGGGACCUGGAGGUAUUUUCGGGAACAUACGAGGUGCAAGCAGAUACUUGACCAAGUCAAACGUUAUAGCUUCCAGAAAUACAGAUCUAUUAAGUAUUGACGGAAGAGAAUUUUACAAUUUACUAAAGAGCUAUCCCUCUGUGCUAAAGAAAGUUAAAGAAUCGGUUGAUUCAGCGGCCAAAGAUUACGUAUUGCCAACGUUUUCAUUUGAUAAGGACAGCGAUGACAUUGAAACAUAUGCUAUGAGUUACGAGCCCGGUGAUAAUGAUGACGAAAACGAAAUUGAUAUUUCACAAAUGGAGAGUCCCGAAAAAAGUAAUGCCGAAUCACACGGAUCAAGAUCAUUAACAUCAACCUAUUUAUAUUUCACAUCGGCAACGUUUUUGAUUUUUAAGCCACACAGAUGGUUCCGACGGAGCAUCAUACCUGACAGUAAAUUUAUAAUAUUUAUGGAAUACUUAAUUAUCGUCGCAUCUUACGUCGACUUUAUGUUGCUUAUUUAUCAAAUGGCAUUCCAAUCAAUUACUUAUUUCUUUUACGAGUGCGUCGUGGUGGACGCUCUUUUCAUUUUCAAAUUGUUCUUGGACAUUCACACCGGAUACUUGAACAGAUAUGGAGAUUACGUUUUGAGCCCAAGGAAAGUCCGAGAAAAGUACUUCUCGAAUAUUUUUCUACGUAGACUUGAUUUUUUGGCGAACUUACCAAUUAGUUAUAUAGCUUUUACUCUAUCGCUAAAACCUUCAACGCAAAUGAUAUUCUUUUGUUAUCUUCGCACGCCGCAGCUAUUCAGGAUUUCUUACAUGUUCAGUUAUCGAAGCCAGAAAAAUACAAACAUAGGAACCGGUAAUCUACUAUUUAAACUGACAUCUAUUGCAAUUUGGGCAACAAUACUUUCACAUAUAAACGCCUGUAUAUUUUUCAAGUUAUCGUGCCUUACGCCUGUGCAUUGUACGUCCACUAAUUGGAUGUCGAAGAAAGAACUCAACUUAACCCACAAGUAUAUACAGGAAAGUUACUUCACGAUUUACAUUGCGUCCUUGUGGUACGUGAUCAACUUGCUAACCAUUACGGGAACUGGAGAUGUAACAGCACAAAACAAUUUCGAAGUUAUAGAAACUAUUAUCAUCAUUAUCAUUAUAAAAUUCUGCACAGGUCUUCUAAUAUCGGAGAUGUCAGCAUUAAUAUCGGCGCAUUCAUCAUCCCGAAUAGCUUACGACUACGGAAUAAAUGAGCUUAGGGAUGGCCUAAGAGACAUGGGUUUGAGCGGCCAUCAAAUGGAAAAAAUGUGGGCCUAUGUAAAAGAACUGUGGAAUCGACAACAAGGAAAACAGAUGCCUGAAUUAGUCCUGAACUUGCCAAGUCGUCUGCGCAGCCAGGUGAUGUUGGCUGUGUACGGAUCUCAUAUCAGGGACUCUGUUAUAUUCAAGAGAACUGAAGAAGAUUUUCGGAGAAUGUUGGCUCUGUGGAUGAGACAUUGCGUUUUCUUCCCCGGAAACUACAUAGUCCAGUGCGGAGACUCGGACCAAUGCAUUUAUUUUAUCCACAGAGGACAAGUGGAAGUUUUGACAGUUCAUCCUAAUUUGACGGAGUCUAUUUACGAUAUUUUGGGGCCCGAGGACAGCUUCGGUAUUGCACAAGGUUUAUACGUUGGAGUCUUACAUCAUUUCUCGUUUCGAGCGCGCACCGUCGUCGAUAUUGUAUACUUGAAAUUGGAACAAUGGAAAUAUUUGUUGGAUUUUUAUCCGAAAUCCGCGAAAAUCGUCCAGAAGAAAGUUGAGAAUAUGUUUUUAGCUAUUUAGUUUUAACAAGAAACAGUUGAAUAAAUGUUUUGUUGUUUUAAAUGUUUAUGAAACAUUCAAGUAAAAUUAAAAUUUUCGAUUCUAAAAAAUAUAAAAUGUUCAA
This is an RNA transcript of Bombyx mori (domestic silkworm), 5740 nucleotides long. RefSeq lists it as uncharacterized. Lineage: Eukaryota; Metazoa; Arthropoda; Insecta; Lepidoptera; Bombycidae. The transcript is spliced from 27 exons. The record is from RefSeq and is a predicted model, not a curated record.